ACAUUGGGACUGAGACACGGCCCAAACUCCUACGGGAGGCAGCAGUGGGGAAUAUUGCACAAUGGGGGAAACCCUGAUGCAGCGACGCCGCGUGAGCGAUGAAGUAUUUCGGUAUGUAAAGCUCUAUCAGCAGGGAAGAAGAUGACGGUACCUGACUAAGAAGCCCCGGCUAACUACGUGCCAGCAGCCGCGGUAAUACGUAGGGGGCAAGCGUUAUCCGGAUUUACUGGGUGUAAAGGGAGCGUAGACGGCGGUGCAAGCCAGAUGUGAAAGCCCGGGGCUCAACCCCGGGACUGCAUUUGGAACUGUAUGGCUGGAGUGUCGGAGAGGCAGGCGGAAUUCCUAGUGUAGCGGUGAAAUGCGUAGAUAUUAGGAGGAACACCAGUGGCGAAGGCGGCCUGCUGGACGAUGACUGACGUUGAGGCUCGAAAGCGUGGGGAGCAAACAGGAUUAGAUACCCUGGUAGUCCACGCCGUAAACGAUGACUACUAGGUGUCGGGCAGCAAAGCUGUUCG
Molecule: ribosomal RNA, 515 nt
Filed under: uncultured bacterium
Lineage: Bacteria
Description: bacterial SSU rRNA
Rfam family: Bacterial small subunit ribosomal RNA
Source: RNAcentral